Long non-coding RNA from Symphalangus syndactylus (siamang), 494 nucleotides. RefSeq lists it as uncharacterized. The record is from RefSeq and is a predicted model, not a curated record. NCBI's taxonomy places the organism in Eukaryota, Metazoa, Chordata, Mammalia, Primates, Hylobatidae.
UCCUGCGUGGUGAAUUCUGAGACUCGGGCACGGGCACACCAUCCCAAGAGGGCAGUAGACGCUGGGGAAAGUGUCACGGCAGCUGAAGGAGAGGGAGGGGGCCAGUGGAGGAUCCAGGCUCCUUCUGGCCCCUGGCUGCCUAAAGAUGAAGCGUCGCCCUGGCAGUGUUUGAAACACGGUCACUAAGGAGUGAAAUCGGCACGACCCUGGAGCUGGAGGACCCGGCGGGGUCAGGGCAGAUGAGGACGUCUUCAGGAACCUUCCCGGGAUGGGGGUGCACCCACAGGCUGGAGAAAGCCUUCCUUCCUGACCUCCCAGGAGCUGGAGCCCCGCAUCCUCUCAGCAGGUGACCCCCAAACCCUUCCCAACUUCACCCCUGCAGCUCCCUGGGACUGGAACCUUCCCCCUCCUUCCUGGUGGUCUCCACCUGAACAUCCCUGUGCAGGCUGCCUGCCCCCCACUCCCGAGGCAGAUCCAAGAUCUUGGCUCAGACC